GUGAGGAAUAUUGCGCAAUGGAGGCAACUCUGACGCAGCCAUGCCGCGUGCAGGAAGAAGGCGCUACGCGUUGUAAACUGCUUUUAACCGGGAAGAAACCCCAGGACGUGUCCUGGGUUGACGGUACCGGAGGAAUAAGCACCGGCUAACUUCGUGCCAGCAGCCGCGGUAAUACGAAGGGUGCAAGCGUUAUCCGGAUUCAUUGGGUUUAAAGGGUGCGUAGGCGGAGCGUUAAGACAGUGGUGAAAUCCUGCAGCUUAACUGUAGACUUGCCAUUGAUACUGGCGCUCUUGAGUGCGCUUGAAGUGGGCGGAAUGUGCCGUGUAGCGGUGAAAUGCUUAGAUAUGGCACAGAACACCAAUUGCGAAGGCAGCUCACUAAGGCGAUACUGACGCUGAGGCACGAAAGCGUGGGGAUCGAACAGGAUUAGAUACCCGGGUAGUCC
Molecule: ribosomal RNA, 445 nt
Filed under: uncultured bacterium
Lineage: Bacteria
Description: partial 16S ribosomal RNA
Rfam family: Bacterial small subunit ribosomal RNA
Source: RNAcentral